GGCCCCAGCUGUGGGGAAGGCGGAAUUUGCCUGAUAUCGCAGAGCCCCUGCCUGGCAGCGCCGAGCCUGGACUGAGUUGCCCCAUGCCAAGAUUCAUGCCCGGCAAACAAGUUGCACUUUGUUCCUGUGGGAAAGUCCGGCCUCUCAGGAAAGAGCGGCCCCUGGUCUGGGGACGCGGCAAGGCUAACAAAGCCUCCAUCCGCUGGCGACGACUCGUGGGCCCCAACGUCCACCUCCAUGCUCGCUGUCUACAGGCAAACAGGAAGGACCAAAUGUGAAGAAACGAUGUAGCAGAAGAUGGGACCCAAGGUGCACCAGGAACCCUGUCCCACCUGGUGGGCUCCCAAGGACAGCGCCUUACUGCUACUGUGGAAACACGUGGGUCUGGCCUUGGAUCUGGUGGAUCUUGUGAUUGCUUUCCAAGAAAGUUGGAAAUCUGGAUUUUGCUGUGAAAUUUCUCCACUUGUGAAGAUACAAGGCAAGUCAAUAUGUUGUUUAUGGUAAAGUAAAACCAUACAUACAAUAUGGGAAUGAGAAACACAACAUCCAGUACAGGAGUCACCUCUCAGAGACAGAGAGUAAAGGGGCUGGAAGAGGUGGCCAGGAGGUCAGUAGUCCUGUGUUGGUCUAUUUCUCCAGCUGAGAGAUGGGUGCAUGGAUAUGUGUCACAGGAUUCUUGAUGACUUGGGAGUACAUUAUAUGGAUGCCUACACAGAACCCAUAACACAUGAUUUAAAAGCCACCUGGGAACCAGAUAAAACCUUCUUGGAAGCCAUAGAUAGUGUGUGAUAGCUCAGGGACAGAGGUGAGAAAACUCAGAUUCAAGGAGUUGCACCACAUGUCCAAGGUCAAGCAGUAAGCCAAGGUCACUGUCAGGUCUGGGUCCUGUCAGAAGCAGAGCCUGAGACAAAGGUUUGAGCACAAGUAGCCCCUCAGAACAGCAGCUGUGGAGUGGCACUGAAGGAAGCCAGUGCAGGGUGGAACCCAGCACAGCGGUCAGAGUUCUCCAGAGAGACAGAGCACACAGGCUGCCCAUGCUACCAGACGUAAGAGCGGCUUUGUGGUAUGGAGCUAAAAGUCCUACCACAGGUCACACGAAAGCUGAAGACCCUCAGGUGCUGGCAGCAUGGCCCCACGCAUGUCCGAAGGCCUCUUAGGGCAGAGGGAGCCUAUGAUGUGCCUCUCAGUCCAAGGCUGGGGAAGGGGAUACUGGGGCACAUCCUGGUGUUCAGGGCAGAAGAGUGUCCCAGUUCCCAGAGAGGGUGCAUUUGCAUUUCUUCUGCUUUCUAUUCCAUUGGGACCCCCAGGUGAUUGGGCAGCACUGCCCACACUGUGACUAGAUCUUGCCCACUCAGUCCCCUGACGCACAUGACAAUCAUCUCUAUGUCUCCCCUAGGAACACGCUUACCGACACACUUGGAAAUCACACUUUAGCAACUGUAUGGGUGUCCUUAAUCCAGGGGAGGUGACCCUCAAAAUUGACUAUCACAACAAGCAAGUGGCACCCCAGUGAACCAGAGCUCAGACUUGCUGGGCCUGUGUAGCGCAUAGUGCAAAGCGUGAGCCUCCAGGUUUUCCUGCCUCAGCAUUCUGCUUGCAAGGGCAGAGUCUCUGUGGGAACAGAAAGAGCCCUGAAGACAGAAAGGUGGGGCUGACAUGUCGCAAAACGGAGUCAGGGCGGGUGGUGAGUUUAAUCAGGAUGCUGGCCACAGCUGCUACCACGCCCCAGCUGGAUUCGAACGCCAGGUGGUUGGGCUUCUGUACUGAGGCACCUGUCUACUCAGCGUCUCUUCCCCAGGAACCUCCUUUCUCUACACCCACUGAAAGAAACUCUCCUACAGGAUGGGAGACGUUUAAGCACUGGUAUUUCAACAGUCCCACGUGAUUCUGACCCAUGCCUAAGUUCGAGAACUGUUGACCAAGAAGAAAAAGAGCAGGUUCUUAACCCAGCAUUCAAAGUCACGGCCACAUUCUGCUCCUGCCCUCCCCUCCCUUCCCGUCCCUUCCCAGUGCCUUAGGUCAUGGCCCUUCUACCUGCUGGAAUAUGUCUUAGAGGAACUGCUAGCCCCAAGAUGUCUGAUGCUGGCAGAAAAGUCCAGGGCUGUAAUUUCAGCCUCAGGAUUUAAAUUGACGGUUUCUGAAAUUACUUCACUUAUCUCUUCUUGGCCUUAAGAUUGCUUUUUAUAAAUUGAGAUGAGGGAAAUGUUUCUCUCUUCCACCAAGAGGCAUAAAGGCACCCAAUUCCCUUCUGUAACCCAAAACGUAAGCUUUAAUUUUCCAUUUCCUCCACAGCUAUGGUAAAGCUGUUAAUUUUUAUGCCUGCGCUCUUGUCCCCAUCGUGAAUGUCAAAGCAAUGUGCAAAUGCUUGCUGCUUCCUGUGGUUCCUCUAACUAGAGCCCUGCAAAACAAAUGUGGACAGCCAGAGCCAGAGAUCAUUAGGGCUCCUCUCAAAGAUGAGGGACAAUCUACACAUUUAUGGAGCAUCUGCCACAUGCAGGACAUGGCCCUGGGGUUGGGGACUCUGAGGAAGUCCCAGCCCCAGUCUCUGGGACACAGAUGGGGCAGCACGUGAUCUCCCUCCCGUGUGGAGAGUUAGGUAGUACCUACCAUGCACAGCACAGGCCUGACCGUAUUUGUCAGCCCAGGGAGAUGCCAAGCGCAGUCAUUCGCUCCUCCUUACCCCACCCAGAGGAGUCAGGAUCAUGUCUGGUACACGCUGGGUGUGGAUGUGCAUCCACCCCUGUGAUCCCACAACAUUCUGGGAGGCUGAUCUCAGUGUAGGCUACCUGUGAGACCCUGUAUCAAAAUUUUAAAAACUUUAACAAAUUUUUAAAGGGCUGGGGAUGUAGCUCAGCUCAAAGGUCCUGGGUUUAAUCCCCAGUAACCCUUCCUCUCCCCCAGAAAACAAUGCAGAAUCCAGCAGGGAAAUUUUUUUCUUUUUUGCUAGGCCUCACUUGGCUUUCUUCAGGCCUUUCCAAAGACCACAGUGUGAAGCAUCUUAGCGUGCUCAGUGCUCUGCAGUCAGCUCUAUUUUCUUAAGGAGCUUCAGGGUUCCUGGGGGCACUGGACAGCACACUCUAGUCAAGCACCAAGUUGCUCAUGCCAAAUAUUCUGCUAUUCAUUAAGAAGGCCCCUGGCUGGAGAUGGGCAUGGUGGUGCAUGUCUGUUUGAUAGAUACUCAGGAGUCAGAGGCUGGGGGAUUGUGAGUUCAAGACCAGCCUGGACUAUACAGCAAGGUCCUGUUUCAAAAACAGAAAAAAAGAUAAAGGUCCUGGUUUUUGCAGGGUCAGUGAAAAGGUCAUUCAAAUAAGGGGAGCUGACUUUUUAUCAUCAGACCCUUGGUAAUGAAUACCUCGUGGUUCCUGACAGAGAAGCCCAGGGCUCAUGCCGAGAGGAAGAGAGCACCUCCAGAAGAAGGUUCCUCACUCAUCCUUACCCAUUUGAGGAUGUGUGGGGACAUGGCACACACUGAGUAAAGCAGAACAGAAGACCUUGGGACAAGUCAUCUGAUAGGGUAAAGGGGCCCAAGAAACAGCAGUGUUUAGAUGCCCAUUAGGAAAGGGUUAGAAUCUGAGAUGUUCAAGAACAUGCACAUUGUGGCCUGGUUUCAUCAGGAUGACACAGAGGUAAAGAGGAACACUGUGAAAGUUACGAAGUUUCAUCAGAGACAAAGGCCACGUUGACAAAUUGUUUGGCUUGGAGUUCAGUGACAAAUCUGGUGACCAUGUGCCCUGGUGGGAACUGAGGACUCUGGUACCCCGAAGUCCCCACAAAGACAGAGUUGUCUGUGCCUGGUGUGAAGCUUUGGCCAGCACUGGAGCCUUGAGCCCUCCCAUUCUCUGGGGGUGAUGUACUCCCUGGCCCGUCGGCACUGUCCUGGACAUUCUGGCUGCUGGCAGCCUGCUCAGCAGGUCAAGAAACUGCUAUCAGCCACUCUCGGCCCGUCCUGAUUGCCACCAGCUGAAUCAGACCUGUGGGAGAUCAAUUCCUGUAUUUACCCAGCCCCUCAACAGUGGUUCUCAAACCUGGCCAUGCCUUGGAAGAGCCAGAGGAGCUUCUGAAAAUACCCACACUGAAUCUCACUGGACAGAUGCUAGUGGAUCACUCUGGGUGUUUCCUGGGCAUCAGGAUUUCUAUCAAAGUUCCCAAGGUGAUUCUAAUUGUCAGCUAAAGUUUUGGCCUUGCCCUAGAAGGACAGGAAAGUAGCCUAGUGAACUAUUUCUUUUUUUAAAAACUAAUGAUGUACAUGGUGCCAAAGGGCCUGUGUAAAGACCUGUGUGUUUGCCAAACUUGUUCAACUGUGGGACCCUACUGUCUGUUGGAGAGAACAUCAUGCUGAACACAUGUUAGGGUACUCUGGGAACACAGUCCAGGGUCUACCAAGAAAGAGUUUUCAGACAAGCCAUUUUGUAGGGUGAAGGGGCCUCAUGUUACUGGGAAUAAAGACUCUCCAGACUA
Molecule: long non-coding RNA, 4458 nt
Organism: Cavia porcellus (domestic guinea pig)
Lineage: Eukaryota; Metazoa; Chordata; Mammalia; Rodentia; Caviidae
Exons: 2
Source: RefSeq, a predicted model, not a curated record